Molecule: long non-coding RNA, 495 nt
Filed under: Mus spicilegus (steppe mouse)
Lineage: Eukaryota; Metazoa; Chordata; Mammalia; Rodentia; Muridae
Description: lncRNA (ENSMSIG00000007848.1)
Source: RNAcentral
GUUGGACCCACAUUCUGAAGUUUGACAGCUGGGAUUAAUUGUCUCUGUGAGUUUGCAGUACGCCUAGUGUUACAUGUAUUUUAAUCUCAAGCCCUAACCAUACAAUGGCUUCGCAAGCAGUAUGUAAAGCCAAAGAGCUCAGCGCUGUAAUAGAAGUGCUCUUGGCAGUUCUCUAGGCAAGGAUCUCAAAUUGAUCGCUUAAAAAUCACUUUCAAGCCAGGCAGGACAAACUCAAGCAAGGCAGCAACUGCAGGUGACAUCACCAAAGGACUGCAGAAAGAACAGGUUCCAAAAGGUUGGAGCUGCUAAUAAGGAGAAACUCUAUUUGGAUGACAGUGCUUUCCACUCACAAAGAAACUUGAAGAUAAACAUCUGAAAAUGUGUUCCUCCAUGGCUAAAAGUUGUUCUAAAGGUCUAACAGAAAACUUAAAGCAUUACCUCGCCUCAGUUUCUUGAGUAAUGCUUAACUACAGCAGGAAGAGUGGAUUUGAGAGA